AGAGUUUGAUCCUGGCUCAGGAUGAACGCUAGCGACAAGCCUCAUACAUGCAAGUCGAGGGGCAGCAAGACACUUCGGUGUUGUUGGCGACCGGCGAACGGGUGCGUAACACGUAUGUAACCUACCCUAUACUGGGGGAUAGCUUUCGGAAACGAAAAUUAAUACCCCAUAUUAUCUAGUCUUUAUUAAGAUAAUUAGAUGAAAGCUCUGGUGGUAUAGGAUGGGCAUGCGCCCCAUUAGUUUGUUGGUAGGGUAAUGGCCUACCAAGACUAUGAUGGGUAGGGGGUCUGAGAGGAUGGUCCCCCACACUGGCACUGAGAUACGGGCCAGACUCCUACGGGAGGCAGCAGUAGGGAAUAUUGGUCAAUGGGCGAAAGCCUGAACCAGCUAUGUCGCGUGCAGGAUGAAUGCCCUAUGGGUUGUAAACUGCUUUUUUACAGGAAAAUAAAGCUUCUGAGGAAGCCUAAGAUGGUACUGUACGAAUAAGCACCGGCUAACUCCGUGCCAGCAGCCGCGGUAAUACGGAGGGUGCAAGCGUUAUCCGGAUUUACUGGGUUUAAAGGGUACGUAGGUGGUCGAGUAAGUCAUUAGUGAAACCUAACAGCUCAACUGUUAGCGUGCUAAUGAUACUGUUUGACUUGAGUGUGGUCGAGGUGGGCGGAAUUCUACAAGUAGCGGUGAAAUGCGUAGAUAUGUAGAGGAACACCGAUAGCGAAGGCAGCUCACUAGGCCAUUACUGACACUGAGGUACGAAAGCGUGGGGAGCAAACAGGAUUAGAUACCCUGGUAGUCCACGCCGUAAACGAUGGUCACUCGAUAUACGUUUUUAAACGUGUGUCUUAGCGAAAGCGUUAAGUGACCCACCUGGGGAGUACGUUCGCAAGAAUGAAACUUAAAGGAAUUGACGGGGGUCCGCACAAGCGGUGGAACAUGUGGUUUAAUUCGAUACUACGCGAGGAACCUUACCUAGGGUAAAUGGAUGUUGCUAUGCCAAGAAAUUGGUAGUCCCGCAAGGGCGACAUACAAGGUGCUGCAUGGCUGUCGUCAGCUCGUGCCGUGAGGUGUUAGGUUAAGUCCCUUAACGAGCGCAACCCCUAUGCUUAGUUGCCAGCACGUAAUGGUGGGAACUCUAAGCAAACUGCCUGCGAAAGCUGUGAGGAAGGAGGGGACGAGGUCAAGUCAUCAUGGCCCUUAUACCUAGGGCUACACACGUGUUACAAUGGCGUGUACAACGGGUUGCUUCCUGGUAACAGAUUGCUAAUCUCUAAAAACACGUCUCAGUUCGGAUUGAGGUCUGCAACUCGACCUCAUGAAGUUGGAAUCGCUAGUAAUCGUGCAUCAGAAUGGCGCGGUGAAUACGUUCUCGGACCUUGUACACACUGCCCGUCAAGCCAUGGAAGUCGGAGGGAUCUAAAGAGAGCUACUGUCAAAAGGGCUUUUUAGGGUUAAGUCGAUAACUAGGGCUAAGUCGUAACAAGGUAGUCGUACCGGAAGGUGUGGCUG
RNAcentral lists this ribosomal RNA (1503 nucleotides) under invertebrate metagenome. RNAcentral describes it as "bacterial SSU rRNA". It matches the Rfam family "Bacterial small subunit ribosomal RNA". The record is from RNAcentral.